CUGUUUAGGUAAAGUAGAGGAAGUUAGCACUCCCCUUGAUAAAGAUGGAAGAGGUCCUAGUGGCCUAUACAGACAUGGUUAAAGCAUUGCCACUUUUUUCAUGGCAUCUAAACAUACUUCUGC
This is a small nuclear RNA of Rhineura floridana, 123 nucleotides long. The record is from RefSeq and is a predicted model, not a curated record. NCBI's taxonomy places the organism in Eukaryota, Metazoa, Chordata, Lepidosauria, Squamata, Rhineuridae.